Podarcis lilfordi (Lilford's wall lizard) is the source of this 76-nucleotide non-coding RNA. The record is from the annotation of a GenBank genome assembly. NCBI's taxonomy places the organism in Eukaryota, Metazoa, Chordata, Lepidosauria, Squamata, Lacertidae.
GCUUACAGGAUAGCUCAGUUGUUGUAACAUGAGACUCAUACUCUCAGGGUCAUGGGUUCGAGCCCAACAUUGGGCA